GACGAACGCUGGCGGCGUGCUUAACACAUGCAAGUCGAACGGAAAGGCCCUGCUUGCAGGGUACUCGAGUGGCGAACGGGUGAGAAACACGUGGGUGAUCUGCCCUGCACUUCGGGAUAAGCCUGGGUAACUGGGUCUAAUACCGGAUAGGAGCCAUUUCUAGUGUGAUGGUUGGAAAGUUUUUUCGGUGUAGGAUGAGCGUGCGGCCUAUCAGCUUGUUGGUGGGGUAAUGGCCUACCAAGGCGGCGACGGGUAGCCGGCCUGGGUGGGUGGACGGCCACAUUGGGACUGAGACACGGCCCAGACUCCUACGGGAGGCAGCAGUGGGGAAUGGUGCUCAAUGGGCGCGAGCCUGAUGCAGCGACGCCGCGUGGGGGAUGACGGCCUUCGGGUUGUAAUCUCCUUUCGCUAGGGACGAAGCUUUUUGUGACGGUACCUAGAUAAGAAGCACCGGCUAACUCCGUG
Molecule: ribosomal RNA, 465 nt
Filed under: uncultured bacterium
Lineage: Bacteria
Description: partial 16S ribosomal RNA
Rfam family: Bacterial small subunit ribosomal RNA
Source: RNAcentral